Schizosaccharomyces pombe (fission yeast) is the source of this 484-nucleotide non-coding RNA. NCBI's taxonomy places the organism in Eukaryota, Fungi, Ascomycota, Schizosaccharomycetes, Schizosaccharomycetales, Schizosaccharomycetaceae. The record is from the annotation of a GenBank genome assembly.
GUUAUCGUUUACUUCGUCGAUAACGUGUCGAAGUUUAUGGUAAGCAUCAUUCGGAGGGAGACGUAGCUCAAGGAUUAACCUAUCAACUUUGUUCAAGACGAGCACAAUUGGCAUAUCGUGAAGAAUCGCAUGUUUGAUAAUUCUAGUGGUGUUAAUCAUCACCUAAAGCAUGUUAGAAUCUUUAUAUCUUCAAAACGCAAGAAAAGGCCAGAAUAACUUACACCUUCAAUAACAUCAACGACUAAUACAACACCAUCACUUAUGGCCAUAGGAGCAGCGACUUCAUCAACAAAAUCGACAUGACCAGGCGUAUCGAUGCACUGAAAUGCAAACGUCUUACCCUUCAUAUCAGAAACUGCGAGCGUAAGUGGAGUACUUUUUAUAGACAUCACACGUUCUCUUUCAAGAUAAUGAGUGUCGGUAUAUCGAAGUGAACGCCUUUUUGGCGGCUUGGUGUCAGGAUGGGUAUAAUAAACGAGUAAAU